RNAcentral lists this ribosomal RNA (253 nucleotides) under uncultured bacterium. RNAcentral's name for it is "partial 16S ribosomal RNA". It matches the Rfam family "Bacterial small subunit ribosomal RNA", at positions 524 to 776 of the family's 1533-position model. The record is from RNAcentral.
UACGUAGGGGGCGAGCGUUGUCCGGAUUUAUUGGGCGUAAAGAGCGUGUAGGCGGCCAGGCAGGUCCGUUGUGAAAACUCGAGGCUCAACCUCGAGACGUCGAUGGAAACCAUCUGGCUAGAGUCCGGAAGAGGAGAGUGGAAUUCCUGGUGUAGCGGUGAAAUGCGCAGAUAUCAGGAAGAACACCUAUGGCGAAGGCAGCUCUCUGGGACGGUACUGACGCUGAGACGCGAAAGCGUGGGGAGCGAACAGG